Long non-coding RNA from Pseudoliparis swirei, 734 nucleotides. RefSeq lists it as uncharacterized. The transcript has 2 exons. The record is from RefSeq and is a predicted model, not a curated record. Lineage: Eukaryota; Metazoa; Chordata; Actinopteri; Perciformes; Liparidae.
UCUCUCUUCCGGGUUGCAGUGAAUCCGGUUCCACGCGCUGCUGCAGAGAGAAAGAAACCAACGGUCCGGAAGCUUCUUUUAACGGAUUUUAAGAGCCUGGACUGGAUUCAUCUUCAUAAGGUCAGCAAACUAUGACUGGGACCGUUGUUUACUCGCGUGCUCAGCUGAUUGCGCUGUGCAAGCCGCAGCUUCUGCCUGGAGACAGACCUGUGAUCCCGGUGGAGCUACGGAGAAGGGCUCGGGGCUGCAGGUCGGGUGCCAAGACGAGGGCUAAAAAGAUGAAAUACAAAACCCUCGAUACCGGCGAUCAUAACAGGGAACGUGAGGUCUUGGCGAAUAAGACGGAUGAGCUCGGCGCGCUGGUAAUGACAGAGGAUCUUCCGUGAGAGCAGCCUCUUGUGUUUUACUGAGACGUGGCUGCACGCGGACUAUCCGCGAUUAACUGGUUUUGGUACGCAUGCAUGAGGCAGAUGUUCCGUAGGAGUGGCCUCGGAGUUGCCUCUCAGGACUCGUCUCGACUAACUAGGAAAUGCACAUUUCCAUCGCUUAGCCUCUGUCGCGUUCUUUUUAUGUAACGCUAAUGUUUUAAAGACUAAACACGGAGGACUUUGCUGUAAAAUGUGAUACCUGUUCUGCAGUUGAGACGCCGAGGACACGGAGCGAGGACAAAGUAGGUGACUCUGCUGAUGCCUGUUCAAUAUACUACUAACUUCAAUAAAUACUUGACAAAAUGC